CCUACGGGAGGCAGCAGUGAGGAAUAUUGGUCAAUGGGCGGAAGCCUGAACCAGCCAAGUCGCGUGAGGGAAUAAGGCCCUACGGGUCGUAAACCUCUUUUGCCGGGGAGCAAGGGCGGGGACGUGUCCCGGCCCGGAGAGUACCCGGAGAAAAAGCAUCGGCUAACUCCGUGCCAGCAGCCGCGGGAAUCCGGAGGAUGCGAGCGUUAUCCGGCUUUAUUGGGUUAAAAGGGUGCGUAGGCGGGCUUUUAAGUAAGCGGGAAAAAUUCGGGGCUCAACCCCGUCCGGCCGUUGAAACUGGGGGCCUUGAGUGGGCGAGAAGAAGGCGGAAUGCGUGGUGUAGCGGUGAAAUGCAUAGAUAUCACGCAGAACCCCGAUUGCGAAGGCAGCCUUCCGGCGCCCUACUGACGCUGAGGCACGAAAGUGCGGGGAUCGAACAGGAUUAGAUACCCUGGUAGUC
This 460-nucleotide ribosomal RNA is filed under the name uncultured bacterium. Its description in RNAcentral is "partial 16S ribosomal RNA". It matches the Rfam family "Bacterial small subunit ribosomal RNA", at positions 338 to 795 of the family's 1533-position model. The record is from RNAcentral.